ACCCUGGAGGAAGAGGUUGCAGUGAGCCGAGACAGCUCCACUGCACUCCAUCUUGGGUGACAGAGCAAGAUUCUGUCUCAAAAAAAAAAAAAAAAAAAAAAAAGAAAGAAAAAAAUAAAAAGAAAAAGAAACCAAUAGGUGGAAACCUGGAAGAUGGUGAGUGGAAGGGAGUGAAUUGAGAAGGAAUGAAUGACUACCUGUGUCCAAUCUGCUAAGAGGUCAAGCUAGGUAAAGAUUGAGUAUAGUUGAUUGGAUUUAUUGAUAUGAAGGUCACUGGUGGCUUUUCAUGUGGGCUUUCUCCUAAGGCAAUGAAAUUUCAGGGCAGUGAGGGUGAAAUCAGGUUUCAGAAAUAUCAUUUAUUCACCCAGCAAAAUGUAUUAAGUGUUACUGUGUGUCUAGUUCAGGACUAUGCCCAUGGGUACAAGGAUAACUGUUAUCCACUCUCUGCCCUCACACAGCUCUCGUGGGUGGGAGAGACAUAUGUACACUGUUCUAAUGCAGUGUAGUUAAUUGGGGAGGUGAGAGCACAGAGCAAGGGCAGCAUACCAGAGGUGGCAGGUUUACACUCAAAAAUAGCCUUUCUGGAGGAGCUAUUAAGUUUAAAAUAAGGAAUAAAAUGUCAUUUGGAAUUGGCAACUCAGAGGGUCAAAGGAAAACUUUUGCAGGGUGAAAGAGGAAGGAGUUGCAACAUCUCAGACUGCAUUGUAGAGACCCAGGAACGGGAAGGAAUGUAGACAUGCUCUUCAGAUGAAUGAUUCUGAAAGCAUGGAGGGUGAUUGUUAGAGGAAAGGACCAAGGUUGAGGGACGAUUUUAUGAAAAAGAGUUAAGCCUGCCUUAGGUUGGUUGAGGUAUGUUUCUGGAAAAGUUGGAUGAAAUAUCUCUACCCUACAAUGAUGCCUUCUCCAUGGCUGUAAUGAUUGGGUGCCCUGAGUCAGACUUCUUUUUCUUGAACAGUGUAGGGGAUACCCUUAUCCCUUUGGAAGGCACUGGUGCAUGGUGGUGAACAGCGUGGAAUCAGGCAGGAUUCAAUCAAUGCUAGGUCAAAUUUAUUAGCCUCAGUUUCCUCUUGUUCUCCUUCUCCUUCUCCUUUUCCUCCUUCUCCUUCUUCUUCUUCUUUUUUUUUGACAGAGUUUCACUCUUGUUGCCCAGUCUGGAGUGCAGUGGCGUAAUCUCAGUUUACUGCAACCUCCGCCUCCUGGGUUCAAGCGAUUCUCCUGCCUCAGCCUCCCGAGUAGCUGGGAUUACAGGUGCCCACCACUAUGCCCGGCUAAUUUUUUGUAUUUUUAGUAGAGAUGGGGUUUCACCAUGUUGGCCAGGCUAGUCUGAAACUCCUGACCUCAGGUGAUCUACCUUCCUCGGCCUCUCAAAUUGCUGGGAUUACAGGCAUGAGCCACCGUGCCCAGCCCUCAGUUCUCUCUUCUAUAAAAUGGGGUCCCUACCUCAUAGAAAUGUGAUCUAUAUUUGUACCAUAUUUUCAUCUUUUUCUAUUCAAAUCAUGACAGUUUCCAAAGAGCAAACACAGAGUCUCUGCUCCUGCCAGUUGUUUGCAGUCUUUUGGCAGGCAUAGUCUACCUUUAGAGCUGUUGAACUACAGCCCUAGAUAGUCUGGUAUUACUAAUAGACCUUGAAAUCAUUUACUGGUUAUUGCUUAAGUAGGUUUUUUUAUACGGGUGGUUGACUUCAUUCAUUGCUGAUUUCAUUGUCAGGGUAAUAACGUUUUGCCCUCUCUGUCAGGAAUAUUGCUUCCCCUCCCCCACCCCAGCAGCAGCCUCCAUGCACUCAGUCCAGAUAACAGUGAUCCUGGUGCUUGCCUGCACCCCAUUCACUCCUCCAGUGACGUGUGGGUAGAUAGGUUGCCUCUCAGUGACUUUCAUAGCAACUGAUUCUUGUAAUUGUCAAUGUCCACUUUUGAGUGAAGGCUGGAGACUGGAUCUUAAUCUCAGAGCCUGCACAGGGCCUGGAACACAGUGGGUACUCAAUAUAAGCUUAAUGAAUGAAUGAAUGAGUGAGUGAGUGAAGGAAUUCUGAGUUUUGAAGGAGCCUCACUGUCCUGUCUAGGGUAGUAGAAAUGGUUGCUUUUCCCAAACAGAGAGGUGUGCAGAUGGCACCUCCUGAAGCUGCUUAUUCUGACUUCUUGGAGAAAUUCGUGGACUGCCCCAGUGCUCUGAAGUUCUAGGCAUCUCCAUUACCACAGGGGGAGAUAAUCCCACUCCCCGUCUCACAUUCUUGCAUACAGUUAGGGAGGUAUGUGGUGUGGUGGAAUGGAUGUAGGCUUUGGAGCUAGUCACUGCCUGACCUCAGUUUUCUCAAGUGUAAAAUAAAGAUAAUAAAACUUACUCUCUGUCAGAUUAAAUUAGAAGAUAGGUGUAAGUACAUAGUGACCUGGCACACAGUUGUCAGUUAAAAAUAGUAUCUAUUACUGCAAGUUAUAUUCAUAUCAUAUGCAUCUUAUUGAUUUCUAAAAGCUUUACCUUCCGCAUGCUGUCUUUGGAUGACUUAAAAGCAGUUUACAUUUUACUUCACAAUAGCUCAGGGAUCAGAAAGGAGGGCUGAGCCUUUUCUUUCUGUUUUGCAAGAGAGGUGGAACUUUCCUCUCAGCAAGAGGAUAGGUGUCCAGAAGUCCAGCUCCACCCGACUGUCCUUUCCUCAGAGCCAAGGUGUUUUGGCCCACUGUUCACAGGUGGACAUGACUGUUCUUGCCUUACCUACACUUGCCCACACUGAGACCUAGUUGUUUUGCCAUUCAGGACACUACCAGGACAUUUUUACCAUCUAUGCCUUCAGUAUGUCCCCUGUACCAGUGAGUCAGCAGUACCUGGCAGUUCAGGGCUCUUUGUUUACAGAGUACUGUUCUUCAGGGAUCAGGCAAAGAUUCUUCGUGUCAUACACAUGUGGCCACAGUGAAUUGCAUGUAGUGGGUUCUUCAAUAAAUGUUGGCUGGAUGAAUGAACAGAAGAUAUGAUUCCAGGUUCAACUUGGCUGAGAAGGGUAUUUCGUGCUUUUGCCUUUCAGGGUGCUGGUGGGGGCUGAGGGUUGCUGUGGGAAGGGGGCAGACAGCUUACCCUGAGUCUGCCAGAGCCGCUGUGGGCUGUGAAGGACUUUGGAUCUCUGUGUGUCUGAGAGCUUUGGCCAGGUGUCCUCGUGCAGCUUCUCCUGGUACCAGAAUGACUGAUCUCAUGUACUUGUGGCUAAUGAGGUGGAACAGUCAGAUGCUGGGCCCCCCAACGGACUUUUGCCCUUUGAACCUUCUACUUGGAAGCUAGUUGCCUUUUUCAGAGGGCUUUUCCCAAGAGCCAUCUGAGGGUGGAGGUGAAGAAACUUACCUUUUCUGGCCCAUAUUCACCUCAAGAAAUAGGCUUUCAUCAGAGCCUUGGGUUCUAGUGUGGGUUUGUUGUGAACUUUGGAACAAACUCUUGACCAGCAGUGAAGGGGUAGACCUUUAUGCUGCUUUGAUCAUCAAGUCCCUUUGGGGGCUCAUCCUUGCUCUCUUCCUUUCUAUGUUCUAUGUUUCUAUGUUCCUUUCUUUUUCUCUCUGCCUCAGAAGAAGCUGGGCAGGUAGCCUAGAGGAGGUUGCGGAAGAUGCUGGGCAGCAGUGGGUCCUAACUCUGGCUGUGGAUUGGAAUCAUCUGGAGAAUUAAGAAAACAAGGCCGGGCACGGUGGCUCACGCCUGUAAUCCCAGCACUUUGGGAGGCCGAGGCGGGCAGAUCACAAGGUCAGGAGAUUGAGACCAUCCUGGCUAACAUGGUGAAACCCGUCUCUACUAAAAAUACAAAAAAUUAGCUGGGUGUGGUGGCAGGCGCCUGUGGUCCCAGCUACUCGGGAGGCUGAGGCAGGAGAAUGGUGUGAACCCGGGAGGCGGAGCUUGCAGUGAGCCGAGAUUGCACCACUGCACUCCAGCCUGGGCGACAGAGUGAGACUCUGUCUCAAUUAAAAAAGAAAAGAAAAGAAAAGAAAAGAAAAGAAAAGAAUAGAAAAGAAAGAAAGAAAGAAAGAAAGAAAGAAAGAAAGAAAGAAAGAAAGAAAGAAAGAAAGCAAGCAAGCAAUACUCAGAUUGGGCACGGUGGCUCACACCUGUAAUCCUAGCAUUUUGGGAGACUGAGGUAGGAGGAUGGCUUAAGCUCAGGAGACCAGUCUGGAGAACUUGGUCUCUACAAAAAAAAAAAAAAAAAAUUAAUUGGGCAUGGUGGUGCAUGCCUGUAGUCCCAGCUACUCAGGUGGCUGAGGUGGGAGGAUUGUUUAAGCCCAUUUGGUCCAAGCUGCAGUGAGCCAAGAUUGUGCCACUGCAUUCCAGCAUGGGCAACAGAGUGAGACGCUGUCUCAAAAAAAAAAAAAAAAAAAAAAGAAAGAAAGAAAACAAUACUCAUCACUCCCACUCCCUGACUACAUAAAUCUGAACCACUGGGGAGAAGAAUGAGAUGAGAAUUGGCUUGGAGAACGAGAAUUAAGGAAGCAGAAAAAUUGCUUUUGAGGAGAAUUGAUGAGGGUCUUGUGGUGGCACACACCUGUAGUCCCAGCUACUCGGGAGGCUGAGGCAGGAGAAUUGCUUGAACCUGGGAAGUGGGGGUUGCAGUGAGCCAAGAUCAUGCCAUUGCACUUCAGCCUGGGUGACAGAGCAAGACUGUGUCUCAAAAAAUAAAUAAAAUAAAUAAAUAAAUAAAUAAAUAAGUCAAUAAAUAAGUAAAUAAAAAAAAAUAAUAUGCUGAGAUUAUAGGUGUGAGCCACUUUGCCCAGCCUGGAACUUUCAUUCUUAAUUAUCACUAAGAAUUUGCACACAUCUACUUCUUGAAAUUCUCUUAUAAACAUAAGUACAAGAGUGUUUCAUGAAAUCCGUUUUUAAAAUGAACAUCUCUGUGUGCCACAGUUCCUAGGACUGGGGCCACCAGAGGCCACCUGUCUGCAGGCUGGGCACAGGAAGGUUGGCCAUCUCUCUCAAAGCAAUGAAGAAGGAGAUGAAGAUUGGGGCCUAUUACACAAGAUAAACAGUGUCAGCAUGCUUUACCAGAGAGAACAUUUUCAUCACCCCACUACUGAAAGCCAUGUAUAAAUCUCUGGCAAGUGAUUGUGGAUCCUGGCUGCCUCUCGCUGGCCCGUCACGAUGAGAGGAAAAAUCAGGCAGCGGGCAAAGACUGUACCUGGAAAAUACAAACUAGGAUUGGAGUGAAAUUAAAGCAGUUCUGCAGCUAGAAGGUUGAAGGCUUUUAGGUCCUUACUGAAAGGGUCUUAUUCUUGCCUUGUCCAUUCUAUGACUCAUGCCUAAGAGGCCCAGAAAU
This 5272-nucleotide long non-coding RNA is filed under the name Homo sapiens (human). Its description in RNAcentral is "non-protein coding lnc-SLC7A7-2:1". The record is from RNAcentral. Lineage: Eukaryota; Metazoa; Chordata; Mammalia; Primates; Hominidae.